This is a long non-coding RNA of Lagopus muta (rock ptarmigan), 303 nucleotides long. RefSeq lists it as uncharacterized. The record is from RefSeq and is a predicted model, not a curated record. Lineage: Eukaryota; Metazoa; Chordata; Aves; Galliformes; Phasianidae. The transcript is spliced from 3 exons.
ACUUUGCAAGACUAAAAUGGGAGCAGAAAACAUUCUGAUAAUAAAUCUUCAUCUCCAAAGGAGGAAUGGUGGAGCCAUUAGUGCUGCAGUGCUUGCAUAAAUACUGAAUAGAAAUUGCAUGUGCUCAUGCUUAUGAUCCUGCGCAGCCAGAUUAAGCUAGGUAUGCCAGGGCUGUACCUCCCAAGCAAGGGCAACUUGCUGGAAACACUGCUCUCUGGAAUGAGGCUUCACCAAGAGGACAGACCUGGGGCCAGACAGGGUGAUUGCCCUCCUUACUGCCAGCACUCUUGAUGCAGCAUGGAC